This 693-nucleotide long non-coding RNA is filed under the name Rattus norvegicus (Norway rat). Its description in RNAcentral is "long non-coding RNA NONRATT004781". Lineage: Eukaryota; Metazoa; Chordata; Mammalia; Rodentia; Muridae. The record is from RNAcentral.
UUAUCAUUUUAAAUGCUAAUUUAUUUACUUUUUGAGACAUAGUAUCACCUUGUAACUCUGGCUGACCUUGAACUCAGUAUAAAGACCAAGCUGGCCUUAAAUUCACAGAGCUCCUCCUGCCUCUGCCUCCUGAGUUCUGAGGUUAAAGGUGUACCCUAGAAAAAUACUUUAGCAUUUGCAGGCUAGGCUUCUUAGACAUGGAUCUCUUUGAAUUUAAGGCCAGCCUGUCAACAAAGAGAGUGGCAGGUCAGCCAAUCCUACAGAGCGAGACCCUAUCUCAAAAAAAAAAAAAUUAAAUAAAACAAAAACACAAGUAAAAAGUUCUUUAAAAAGUCUUUUAGCUGAGAGUUGGCUAAAAAAGAAAGUAAGAGCAAAGUCAUCUGUAAUCCACAAACUGCACAUCUAGGUUUCAGUUGUGAAAUGCCUGUUGCUGCUCCACCCACCCGGUCCCUGGAUCUCAGCUGCCUUCCUUCAUUCUGGCCUCGCACCUCAGCGCGAACUUUUGCGCGCUGCACGCGACCCCCUCCGAGUUCCCGCCUCUUUCCACUCUGGCCCCGCCUUCCGCUCAAAUCCCCGGGCCCUGAUACCGCCUCGCGACGCUUGCGCACUGGGGAAGGUAGGCGGAGUCUUAAAGGAGGAGGAGCUGGAGAGUCUUGACCGGGGCGGGGUGGGGCGGGGCCGGACGGGGCGGGG